UGUUCCUUAGUGUAGCGGUUAGCACGCCUGCCUGAGGAGCAGAGCGGCCUGGGUUUGAUUCCCAGAGGAACCA
Molecule: non-coding RNA, 73 nt
Organism: Cynoglossus semilaevis (tongue sole)
Lineage: Eukaryota; Metazoa; Chordata; Actinopteri; Pleuronectiformes; Cynoglossidae
Source: the annotation of a RefSeq genome assembly